Molecule: ribosomal RNA, 1221 nt
Filed under: Callismilax deplanchei
Lineage: Eukaryota; Metazoa; Arthropoda; Insecta; Coleoptera; Tenebrionidae
Also listed under: 1 other name
Description: SSU rRNA
Rfam family: Eukaryotic small subunit ribosomal RNA
Source: RNAcentral
UUGUCUCAAAGAUUAAGCCAUGCAUGUCUCAGUACAAGCCGAAUUAAGGUGAAACCGCGAAAGGCUCAUUAAAUCAGUUAUGGUUCCUUAGAUCGUACCCACAUUUACUUGGAUAACUGUGGUAAUUCUAGAGCUAAUACAUGCAAACAGAGCUCCGACCGGAGACGGAAGGAGCGCUUUUAUUAGAUCAAAACCAAUCGGUGGCGAUUUCCGUCGUCAUCGUACAACUUGGUGACUCUGAAUAACUUUACGCUGAUCGCACGGUCUUGCACCGGCGACGCAUCUUUCAAAUGUCUGCCUUAUCAACUGUCGAUGGUAGGUUCUGCGCCUACCAUGGUUGUAACGGGUAACGGGGAAUCAGGGUUCGAUUCCGGAGAGGGAGCCUGAGAAACGGCUACCACAUCCAAGGAAGGCAGCAGGCGCGCAAAUUACCCACUCCCGGCACGGGGAGGUAGUGACGAAAAAUAACGAUACGGGACUCAUCCGAGGCCCCGUAAUCGGAAUGAGUACACUCUAAACCCUUUAACGAGGAUCAAUUGGAGGGCAAGUCUGGUGCCAGCAGCCGCGGUAAUUCCAGCUCCAAUAGCGUAUAUUAAAGUUGUUGCGGUUAAAAAGCUCGUAGUCGAAUCUGUGUCCCGCGCCGCCGGUUCAUCGUUCGCGGUGUCAACUGGCGUGCCGCGGGACGUCCUGCCGGUGGGCUUAGCUCGAGAGGGCGGCCCAACUCAAUCCCGCCGCGGUGCUCUUCAUUGAGUGUCGAGGUGGGCCGGCACGUUUACUUUGAACAAAUUAGAGUGCUUAAAGCAGGCUAAAACUUCGCCUGAAUACUGUGUGCAUGGAAUAAUGGAAUAGGACCUCGGUUCUAUUUUGUUGGUUUUCUGAACCCCGAGGUAAUGAUUAAUAGGAACGGAUGGGGGCAUUCGUAUUGCGACGUUAGAGGUGAAAUUCUUGGAUCGUCGCAAGACGGACAGAAGCGAAAGCAUUUGCCAAAAACGCUUUCAUUGAUCAAGAACGAAAGUUAGAGGUUCGAAGGCGAUCAGAUACCGCCCUAGUUCUAACCAUAAACGAUGCCAGCUAGCGAUCCGCCGACGUUCCUCCGAUGACUCGGCGGGCAGCUUCCGGGAAACCAAAGCUUUUGGGUUCCGGGGGAAGUAUGGUUGCAAAGCUGAAACUUAAAGGAAUUGACGGAAGGGCACCACCAGGAGUGGAGCCUGCGGCUUAAUU